RNAcentral lists this ribosomal RNA (516 nucleotides) under uncultured bacterium. RNAcentral describes it as "bacterial SSU rRNA". It matches the Rfam family "Bacterial small subunit ribosomal RNA", at positions 355 to 889 of the family's 1533-position model. The record is from RNAcentral.
UGGGGAAUCUUGGACAAUGGGGGCAACCCUGAUCCAGCCAUGCCGCGUGAGUGAUGAAGGCCUUAGGGUCGUAAAGCUCUUUCGCCUGUGAAGAUAAUGACGGUAGCAGGUAAAGAAACCCCGGCUAACUCCGUGCCAGCAGCCGCGGUAAUACGGAGGGGGCAAGCGUUGUUCGGAAUUACUGGGCGUAAAGGGCGCGUAGGCGGAACAUCAAGUCAGAGGUGAAAGCCCUGGGCUCAACCCGGGAACUGCCUUUGAAACUGAUGAUCUAGAGUCCGGAAGAGGAUGGCGGAAUUCCCAGUGUAGAGGUGAAAUUCGUAGAUAUUGGGAAGAACACCGGUGGCGAAGGCGGCCAUCUGGUCCGGUACUGACGCUGAGGCGCGAAAGCGUGGGGAGCAAACAGGAUUAGAUACCCUGGUAGUCCACACCGUAAACGAUGAAUGCCAGUCGUCGGGUAGCAUGCUAUUCGGUGACACACCUAACGGAUUAAGCAUUCCGCCUGGGGAGUACGGUCGC